CAUCUCGCUAUUGGCCAUCGCUCGUCACAUGUAAGCGAACCGGGGGGGGCAGUCGUGAGUCGGGAGAGUGGAAGAGAGAGAGGGGAAGAGAGAAGGGGGAGAGGGAGAGAGAGUGUGUGUGUGUGGGAGAGUGCAUUUAAAAAAAACAUGUUAUAUUAAUAAACAGUACUAUAUAAUAAUUAUCAUCAUCAUCAUCACCUUCAUCAUUGUCAUCCGCAGUAGUAACAAUUCAUGUUAUAUUAGCAGUGUCAACAACUUAGACGCGCGCACGCGCGCACAAGGCAGGAACGAGCGACUGUCACGCGCACACGGAGAGAGACGAGAGAGACCGUCGAGACGACAAACAGUUUAAUUUCUCAACUACAACUUUCACAACAACAACGACCAUCGACCAAUCAACCCAGAACAACAGAUUGGCGUAAACAGGACCGGAGGAGAUCGCGAGUCGAGCGCUCGAAUCGAGAGAGAGAGAGAACGGAGAGACACCGCGACGGGAAGAGAGGGGAGAGACAGAGAGAGAGAACGCAGACAAAAGCCAGCGCCACAGACGGGCGAGCGAGCGAAGCGAAAGGAGAAAGGAGAGAGCGAGCGAGACGAGACGGAACAAGCGGACAGCCCUACUUUACCCGAUUGAACAUGAUGAGUUCGUACUUAAUGAACAGGAGCUACGUGGAACCAAAAUUCCCGCCGUGCGAGGAAUACUCCCAGAGUAGCUACAUCUCCGAGGGUCCUGCCGUAGAGUUCUUCGCGAGCGAGAGGCGCGGUCUCGAAUGCGCCCCGGGCGGACCGGGCAGCUAUCAAAGUUGCGACGGAGUCGUGGACUCGAGUCCACCGAGGAGCGGGGUCAUCCCACCCCUCGUCCCGCCGCCGCCUACGACCCGUGGCCCGAGUCUGACCCCUAACCUCGACUCGACCCCGAGCGCUCCGGCAACGGCCGCCGCGGUCGUCGCUUCGACGGCGGCGGCGGCGGCUGCGGCGGCGGCUGCGGCGGCGGCGGCUCUGGGGGUCUCCUCGACCCCACGGGGUCGGGAGUCGGGAGCAGGGGCUGAGACUCGGGGAGCCAUGAGGGCUCGAGAGGGUGGAGGAGGAGGAGGUGGCGGUGGUGACAGGCGAAGGGACUCGCCCGAGAGGAUGGCGACCCCCGUGGUUUACCCGUGGAUGAAGAAGAUUCAUGUCGGUGGUGGAGGCGCGGUCGACUCCGAGACCCAGGGACACGAGACCAAACGGGCGCGCACGGCCUACACGCGUCAGCAGGUGCUGGAGCUCGAGAAGGAGUUCCACUUCAACCGCUACCUCACGCGGCGGCGCCGCCUGGAGAUCGCUCACUCGCUGGCGCUGAGCGAGCGCCAGGUCAAGAUCUGGUUCCAGAACCGGAGGAUGAAGUGGAAGAAAGACCACAAACUGCCCAACACCAAGAUGAGGCCGGGUCCUCCCGGACUUCCCCAGGGUCUGUCUCAUCGCCCCGACUGCAGUAGAACAUAAAUAAUUACAGAUGAAAUGAAGACAGAGAAAGAGAGAGCUAUAGACAGAUUCCCCUGCGUGCGUUGUUUGCGAAUGCUUGUUUUAUUUUGAGGAGUUAGGCCCAGCCUGGUCCUAUAGAUCCAAUCCUCCUUUCCUACAUAGUGGCGGCCGCCAUUUUGUUUUGAGUGGCAUUAAAAAAUGGGAACCAACUCAGGAGUUGGGGGGGGGGGGAUAAACAUUUUGAGUUGGCUACAACGAAAGACGUGGUGCGUGUGUGUGUGUGUGUACAUUGCCAGACAAAGGUGGCCGCGCUUGGCGCUGGCCACCCACCCUCCCUCGUGUGCUAUGCCAGGCCUUCGUAGGGUGCCUCGCUAAAAGCACUUGCCCCAACGGUCAUGUUAAAGGCAAUACGGGAGAUAUUUUUUUGUGGGUUAUUCACCUUGCCUGGCAGUAGGGCUGACAUUUGCCCGUCACUUGGUGGCGAAAAGGGCGAGCGGUUGUUGUUUGUUGUUAUUGGCUGCACCUAGCCUGGCACCAGCACCGUGGUGCGAUCGCUUUAUUUUCUUGGCGAUCGGCGGGCUGUUGCGAACAGCCGUUGGUGAAUUGAGUAUGCAAAGGGGGAUAUUUGCCGUCACCCUGCAAAUCAAUCGGAUAGCUUGGAUGAGAGGUCGAAUCCAUUGUUCUGAGGGUUUGUAUGAUAUAAUAUGGUUCUAGUAGGGGUGUAACGAUCGACCGAUUGCAACUCAAACCUCUGGACCCCUACCCUGGAACCCUGAUUAAAUGUCAAUGCAGGACCGUGGAUACAUCCAAUCGACGAUCA
Non-coding RNA from Petromyzon marinus (sea lamprey), 2281 nucleotides. NCBI's taxonomy places the organism in Eukaryota, Metazoa, Chordata, Hyperoartia, Petromyzontiformes, Petromyzontidae. The record is from RefSeq and is a predicted model, not a curated record.